UGACUCCCAAGGAGGAAGGAUCUCUAUCUGGAGAUCAUCCCUCUUCCAAGAGGGCACCCCUCUUGGAGCCCUUCUGUGAGCCCAGGACAUGGAUCCCUUAGAAGAUGGAUCACCACUUGGAAAGAGCCACAGUAUUGAGUCUUUGUCCUUGAUCUGCGUGCUGGAAUGGGGCCUCACUCUUCUGUUCUGCCUAUCUGAGCUGCCAGAACAAGCCUUUUGAAUCUGAGAAGCUUUUUCAUAAGUAUAGCAAGCAGCUUUUUCAGUGUAGUACAAGAAGGAUCUACAUCACAUAAUGGGAUACAGUACUGCAUCAGAAGUCCAUUGAGCUGGGUUCAGUUCCUGCAUUGACUUCCUGAGGUGAAAUCACUUCAUCUUUUUGUGCCUCAGUAACCCUAUCACCUGUACGAUAGGGGUAAUAUCUUUCAUUAUUAAAUGCUUUGCUAUGACAAGUCUUUCUAAGAUGAGCUAAGUUGUGUCUUCAGAAAUUACAAAAAUCAGAAUGCACUUUGGUCAUGAUAAUGAAUAAAUGUAGGCUAAGAAAGAACAGAUUUGCUUAAUAGGAAACCACUGCUACUCAACAGAACUAAAUGAAAUAAGUUGACCCUGGGAUUAAUUAAAUAGAACUGCUAUUGCUAGUGGCUUGUUGUGAAUUGGAGAAAUAAUUUUGUCUUGUAAUAUGUUAACUGAAGUGUAAUAGAAAAGCUAAAGACAGAUAGGAGCUCUGAUAUUGAAAAGGCCAUGGAAAUACAAUCAGGAUUAUUUAUUUUGGAAUCACAAAUGGAGAGUGCUGAACUGUUUGUUACUCUAACUUCAUUAAAAAAUAGUCACAAUAGAGACCUUGAUAAACUGGGACACAUUUCAGUGACUAGAAACCUAUUGUAAUCACAAUGACAGUAAUAUAAUCUUGGGCUUUAGUCCAUAUGUCUGUCCUAAUGAGAGCUAUUAAUGUCAUUGGUUUGCAUCCAGCUUGCAGGCCAAGACACUUAACUAAACAUUUUUUUGUUUGUUUCUGUCAUUAGCUGGGAUGCAGAGACCAAAUGGCUGGGACUAUCUUGUUCUUUAGUUCAAUUAAUAGACCUCUGUUGUUUCCCUGGAAUAAAAAUCUGACAGCACAGGAUAAAAAAUUACUCCAAAGCUUGCAGUGGGACCAACAAAUGAAAUCCAUCAUGGAUUUAAAUGGAAUCAUAUUACAGUCUUCUCCCUUCAUUGGACCAGGGAUCUUUUCCUGUGUAAUGUUUACGUUACUUUGAAUCAUGAAGACAAGGACAAAUUCAGGGAGUUGCUGAAUCCUUUGUCAUGAGCCUUGACUCAUCUAUUUUCCUGUGGAAGAACCAGCUAAGGUCUCUGUUGAGGAAAAGUAAACAGUGGGCAUGCAAUUUAUAGCUCCUUCUAUUCUUCCAGGCAGAAUGAAAUCUCUGGGCAAUGGCUGAAGCAAUUCUGCCUGUGACACCACUGCAGUAAUGCACAGUAGUAGCAGCAGACAGUUGACUUGUAGGAAUGGUACAUGUGCUCCAUCUUUGCCUGGAAGUUGUUCAUGAAUUCCUUGAUGAUUGCUAUCACCACUGUAUUUUGAGUCCAAGGAGUGCUGAUUAUAAAAACAUAUGUUUUUCAGGACUGUAGUCAAUUGUUUGGGACCUCUGAAGUUAAGCAGUGCUCUGUAAAUGAAAUAUGUAGAAAUAGAGAUGUGCAGGAAAUAAUCUCAAACAGCAGUGAUAUAUUUUGCUUUUUAUAAGUUGAGUUCUCAUAGGAGAAGUAAAAAUUGCUGCG
This 1767-nucleotide long non-coding RNA is filed under the name Gallus gallus (chicken). Its description in RNAcentral is "lncRNA (ENSGALG00010019342.1)". Lineage: Eukaryota; Metazoa; Chordata; Aves; Galliformes; Phasianidae. The record is from RNAcentral.